Molecule: long non-coding RNA, 951 nt
Organism: Heterocephalus glaber (naked mole-rat)
Lineage: Eukaryota; Metazoa; Chordata; Mammalia; Rodentia; Bathyergidae
Source: Ensembl
GCUCAUUGUCUGAAAAGUCCUGGUUGCACACAGAUCUGCAGCGCGCUGACUUGUUCUCAGAGGUCUCCAAGUUGCUUCACUGCCUUUUACGACAAACAGCUCUAUGAUGCCAUCUAUCUCCAGGAUUUUGUCACUGUCUUCAAAACUUCCUGAUUGUUCUGAAAGUGCUUUGUGAGACCUGCCAUAAGUCCCCUACAAGCAGCUCUGAAAGGAAACAAUUGUCACAGGAGGAGAUCGAACUCGGGACCUUCCACUUGCGAGGCAGAUGGCAGCACCACUGAGCUAAAUCCCCGGCCCCCUAUAAACCAUAACAUCAGUUCAGAUCAGGUGCGUGGAGCCCCGUUCGGUGGCCAUGACAGGGGAGAAGAAAUGGAGAAUGGAAUGUUAAAAGGCAGCCCAGAGGGAAAACUCAGAAUCAAAUCUUCCAGUUCUCCUGCUUUAUUUUUCAGGAUCAAGCCCUUCCCCAAGGGCACAGAUACUACCUGCUCAUGAAAUUAAUAAGUAUCCUUUUUAUAUCUGGGCAGUACAGAGCCAAACCCAGUCUUCACUCUCUUGCAACUUAAUUUCUAGCAGGGAGACAAAUAAUAAGCGUAGAGAUGACCAUGUCCAGGUGUCAGCUGGGCCUAGUGUGAGGGAAAAGUAAAGCAGGGAAAAGGAAGAGAAAGGGCCAGGGUGCUACUCAGUGUAGGGUCAUCAGGAAAGGGCUUCAGAGAAGACAGCACGGAGCUGCCCCAGGAAGGAAGAGAGGGGGAGCCAAGAGGAUAUGGCCAAGGGCACCCCAGGCAGAGGGCACAGAAAGAGCUAAGGCCCGGAGCAGGAGUGGCCUUAGUUGUUGGGGGAAUAGCAAGGAGCCCAGUGUGGCUGGCAUGAGGAGGGCAGGAGGAGAGCGUUGAGAUGGGAAGUCAGGGAGGCAUCGUGUGGGGCCCUGAAGUCAGUGUAGGGACUUGGGCC